UUGAUCCUGGCUCAGGACGAACGCUGGCGGCGUGCUUAACACAUGCAAGUCGAGCGGUAAGGCCCUUCGGGGUACACGAGCGGCGAACGGGUGAGUAACACGUGGGUGAUCUGCCCUGUACUUCGGGAUAAGCCUGGGAAACUGGGUCUAAUACCGGAUAUGACCUUACAUCGCAUGGUGUUUGGUGGAAAGAUUUAUCGGUACAGGAUGGGCCCGCGGCCUAUCAGCUUGUUGGUGGGGUAAUGGCCUACCAAGGCGACGACGGGUAGCCGGCCUGAGAGGGCGACCGGCCACACUGGGACUGAGACACGGCCCAGACUCCUACGGGAGGCAGCAGUGGGGAAUAUUGCACAAUGGGCGAAAGCCUGAUGCAGCGACGCCGCGUGAGGGAUGACGGCCUUCGGGUUGUAAACCUCUUUCGACAGGGACGAAGCGCAAGUGACGGUACCUGUAGAAGAAGCACCGGCCAACUACGUGCCAGCAGC
This 485-nucleotide ribosomal RNA is filed under the name Nocardia sp. 16-358. RNAcentral describes it as "bacterial SSU rRNA". It matches the Rfam family "Bacterial small subunit ribosomal RNA", at positions 13 to 515 of the family's 1533-position model. Lineage: Bacteria; Bacillati; Actinomycetota; Actinomycetes; Mycobacteriales; Nocardiaceae. The record is from RNAcentral.